This 429-nucleotide ribosomal RNA is filed under the name Chloroflexota bacterium. RNAcentral describes it as "Chloroflexi bacterium partial 16S ribosomal RNA". It matches the Rfam family "Bacterial small subunit ribosomal RNA", at positions 355 to 776 of the family's 1533-position model. The record is from RNAcentral. Lineage: Bacteria; Bacillati; Chloroflexota.
UGGGGAAUAUUGCACAAUGGGCGCAAGCCUGAUGCAGCCAUGCCGCGUGUAUGAAGAAGGCCUUCGGGUUGUAAAGUACUUUCAGCGGGGAGGAAGGGAGUAAAGUUAAUACCUUUGCUCAUUGACGUUACCCGCAGAAGAAGCACCGGCUAACUCCGUGCCAGCAGCCGCGGUAAUACGGAGGGUGCAAGCGUUAAUCGGAAUUACUGGGCGUAAAGCGCACGCAGGCGGUUUGUUAAGUCAGAUGUGAAAUCCCCGGGCUCAACCUGGGAACUGCAUCUGAUACUGGCAAGCUUGAGUCUCGUAGAGGGGGGUAGAAUUCCAGGUGUAGCGGUGAAAUGCGUAGCGAUCUGGAGGAAUACCGGUGGCGAAGGCGGCCCCCUGGACGAAGACUGACGCUCAGGUGCGAAAGCGUGGGGAGCAAACAGG